CCUACGGGUGGCAGCAGUGAGGAAUAUUGGUCAAUGGCCGAGAGGCUGAACCAGCCAAGUCGCGUGAGGGAAGACGGCCCUACGGGUUGUAAACCUCUUUUGUCGGGGAGUAAAGAGAGUCACGUGUGACUCAUUGAGAGUACCCGAAGAAAAAGCAUCGGCUAACUCCGUGCCAGCAGCCGCGGUAAUACGGAGGAUGCGAGCGUUAUCCGGAUUUAUUGGGUUUAAAGGGUGCGUAGGCGGAGGUGUAAGUCAACGGUAAAAUUGUGGGGCUCAACCCCGUACUGCCGUUGAAACUGGAUGCCUUGAGUGCGCUAGAAGUAUGCGGAAUGCGUGGUGUAGCGGUGAAAUGCAUAGAUAUCACGCAGAACUCCGAUUGCGAAGGCAGCAUACCGGCGCGCAACUGACGCUGAUGCACGAAAGCGUGGGUAUCGAACAGGAUUAGAUACCCUGGUAGUC
RNAcentral lists this ribosomal RNA (459 nucleotides) under uncultured bacterium. Its description in RNAcentral is "partial 16S ribosomal RNA". It matches the Rfam family "Bacterial small subunit ribosomal RNA", at positions 338 to 795 of the family's 1533-position model. The record is from RNAcentral.